UACGGCGAGUGAAGAGGGAAGAGCCCAAGAUUGAAAGCUGGCGUCUUCGGCGUCCGCAUUGUAAUCUCAAGAAGUGUUUUCCGCUUCGGACCAUGCCUAAGUCCCUUGGAAAAGGGCAUCAUAGAGGGUGAUAAUCCCGUACAUGGCAUGGAGCGCCCGAAGCUUUGUGAUACGCUUUCUAAGAGUCGAGUUGUUUGGGAAUGCAGCUCAAAAUGGGUGGUAAAUGCCAUCUAAGGCUAAAUAUUGGGGAGAGACCGAUAGCGAACAAGUACAGUGAUGGAAAGAUGAAAAGAACUUUGAAAAGAGAGUUAAACAGUACGUGAAAUUGCCAAAAGGGAAGGGUAGGAGGUCAGAGAUGCGGCCUGGGAUUCAUCCUUGCUUUUGUUUGGUGUUUUUCCCGGAUUGCAUGCCAAUUACGGGUUUGGGACCCGGAAAAGGGUCGUAUGUCAAGGCACUCUCUCCUGUACCCUAAUGUAAAACGCCUCCAGACAGGGCUGAUGUCCCCCCAACUACUACAAUUCUCCUAAUAUGUUUAUACUCUUCCUCUCUAGCCGCCCCUCUAGGAAUCCUUGCCA
RNAcentral lists this ribosomal RNA (575 nucleotides) under uncultured Pseudozyma. Its description in RNAcentral is "LSU rRNA". It matches the Rfam family "Eukaryotic large subunit ribosomal RNA", at positions 85 to 616 of the family's 3401-position model. Lineage: Eukaryota; Fungi; Basidiomycota; Ustilaginomycetes; Ustilaginales; Ustilaginaceae. The record is from RNAcentral.